Long non-coding RNA from Danio aesculapii, 1567 nucleotides. RefSeq lists it as uncharacterized. The record is from RefSeq and is a predicted model, not a curated record. Lineage: Eukaryota; Metazoa; Chordata; Actinopteri; Cypriniformes; Danionidae. The transcript has 2 exons.
UGUGUGUGUUCUGCAGGAGUGUGUGCUGUUAUAGAGGAGCUUCUGCUGGACGCUGCAGAUGAAGGAAAGCUGGAGAUGAGCUAAAGCAAAGUAUAGUCAAGUAAAGCAAAGUAAGCAGGCGGUGGUGUGUGGGGACUCGGUCAUUGAUUGUGUUGAAGGUUCAGGGGUCUCUGCGCUGCACAAACACACACACACACACACACGCACGCACACACUCCCACACACUGAUAAAGCGGGUCCAGAGGGUCAGUGGUGUCCAGCACAGAUCAUCAGUAUACAGCAGCUUGAUUAAUCACUGUAGUGUGUGUGUGCGUGUGCGUGUGCGUGUGCGUGUGCGCGUGCGCGUGUGCGUGUGAUGAUCACCCGUCAGAUCUCCUGUGUUUUACUGUUCUCUCCUGCUAUCACUCUGGAAACUGAAGCAGAAGUCCUCAAACAAUCACAAGUUUUACCUCCUGCUUUUACCGCUGGACCACCAGGGGGCGCCUCAUGCUAUUAGAUCUGAAGGGUUAUUGGGGGAUCCACUUUGAAUGGAGGAUCUGGAUUGGUGGAUCGGCCUCUCUCUGCUCUGCCCUGCCCCUGGAUAUUCAAUAUUGACCCAAAACAAUUGAUCAUGAUUAUGAUUAUGAGUGGAGAAAUGAACACAUACUGAACACACAGAGGACACAACAAGACUAUUGACAAGAUAAACGUUCCUAUUUAAAUAAUAUAUCGGUGAUUAGGGUUUAUAUAUGUACAAAUACACACACACACACACACACACACACACACACACACACACACACACACACACACACACAAUGUCAAAACAAGCUUUACUUUGGAUGAGAUUGAUCAUAAAUAUUAAGAUAUUUGACACUGUAGUCACGCAUUUAUGGAUAUACACACUACAGCAGUGUGUGUUGUAAAUAUGAAGUGAUUAGGGAUGUGAUUAAUAACAGCACUGAUAACUAUAGAUAUUAUUGGUCUGAUCUGAGGAAAUGUUCAACAUGUGGAAUCAGUGUGUAGAGAGAGAAACGCCAGCAGAGCGUCAUAGGAAACAUCUUUAUUCAUCAUCUACACGCGUAUACAGCUCUGUUAAUCAGGGGAUUAGUCUGCUCAGCAUCACUAAUAGCAGGAGUUCCUCAGCUGUGUGUGUGUGUGUGUGUGUGUGUGUGUGUGUGUGUGUGUGUGUGUGUUACUUCUUUCAGAAGCUCAGAAACACACACACAUAUGCACUGUAAAGCCACUAGUUGACCUAAAGUGAGUAAAGCUGUUGCUGGAACUUAAUUUCCUCAGUUACACUCAGUCUAUUUACUUCAUCAUUUACAAUCAACUCAACAGUUCCAUGCUGGAUUACUCACUUAUACGGGGCUUCAUUUACAGCGCAGACUGAUGAGCAGAAACAAACACACACACACACACACACACACCUGAACCAUAACAUCUCAUGAUUUAAAAAAAUAAUGCAUUAUCAGACAGCUCUGACAGAAGACACACAAACAAACGCAGACACACAUCUGAUGCAAUUAAUGUGGACUGUAGAAAAUAAAGACACACACACACACACACACACACACACACACACACA